Molecule: ribosomal RNA, 253 nt
Filed under: uncultured bacterium
Lineage: Bacteria
Description: partial 16S ribosomal RNA
Rfam family: Bacterial small subunit ribosomal RNA
Source: RNAcentral
UACGUAGGGCGCAAGCGUUAUCCGGAAUUAUUGGGCGUAAAGAGCUCGUAGGCGGCUCAUCGCGUCUGCCGUGAAAACCCGCAGCUCAACUGCGGGCUUGCGGUUGAUACGGGUGGGCUGGAGUUCGGUAGGGGAGACUGGAAUUCCCGGUGUAGCGGUGAAAUGCGCAGAUAUCGGGAGGAACACCAGUGGCGAAGGCGGAACUCUGGGCCGGAACUGACGCUGAGGAGCGAAAGCGUGGGGAGCGAACAGG